CCUACGGGAGGCAGCAGUGAGGAAUAUUGGUCAAUGGACGAGAGUCUGAACCAGCCAAGUAGCGUGAAGGAUGACUGCCCUAUGGGUUGUAAACUUCUUUUAUAUGGGAAUAAAAUGUUCUAUGUGUGGGAUUUUGUAUGUACCAUAUGAAUAAGGAUCGGCUAACUCCGUGCCAGCAGCCGCGGUAAUACGGAGGAUCCGAGCGUUAUCCGGAUUUAUUGGGUUUAAAGGGAGCGUAGGUGGAUUGUUAAGUCAGUUGUGAAAGUUUGCGGCUCAACCGUAAAAUUGCAGUUGAAACUGGCAGUCUUGAGUACAGUAGAGGUGGGCGGAAUUCGUGGUGUAGCGGUGAAAUGCUUAGAUAUCACGAAGAACUCCGAUUGCGAAGGCAGUUCACUGGACUGCAACUGACGCUGAGGCUCGAAAGUGUGGGUAUCAAACAGGAUUAGAUACCCUUGUAGUC
RNAcentral lists this ribosomal RNA (460 nucleotides) under uncultured bacterium. RNAcentral's name for it is "partial 16S ribosomal RNA". It matches the Rfam family "Bacterial small subunit ribosomal RNA", at positions 338 to 795 of the family's 1533-position model. The record is from RNAcentral.